This 506-nucleotide ribosomal RNA is filed under the name uncultured bacterium. Its description in RNAcentral is "partial 16S ribosomal RNA". It matches the Rfam family "Bacterial small subunit ribosomal RNA", at positions 29 to 523 of the family's 1533-position model. The record is from RNAcentral.
AGUGAACGCUGGCGGCAGGCCUAACACAUGCAAGUCGAACGGCAGCACAGCAGUAGCAAUACUGUGGGUGGCGAGUGGCGGACGGGUGAGGAAUACAUGGGAAUCUACCCUGUCGUGGGGGAUAACGUAGGGAAACUUACGCUAAUACCGCAUACGACCGAGAGGUGAAAGCGGCGGACCGCAAGGCGUCGCGCGAUUGGAUGAGCCCAUGUCGGAUUAGCUAGUUGGCGGGGUAAAGGCCCACCAAGGCGACGAUCCGUAGCUGGUCUGAGAGGAUGAUCAGCCACACUGGAACUGAGACACGGUCCAGACGCCUACGGGAGGCAGCAGUGGGGAAUAUUGGACAAUGGGCGCAAGCCUGAUCCAGCCAUGCCGGGGGAGUGAAGAAGGCCUUCGGGUUGUGAAGCUCUUUUGUCCGGAAAGAAAAGCCUUCGGUUAAUACCCGGGGGUGAUGACGGUACCGGAAGAAUAAGCACCGGCUAACUUCGUGCCAGCCGCCGCCGUAA